Long non-coding RNA from Gallus gallus (chicken), 764 nucleotides. The record is from Ensembl. NCBI's taxonomy places the organism in Eukaryota, Metazoa, Chordata, Aves, Galliformes, Phasianidae.
GCUGAUACACGACAGGUGAUUCUCAUUCCCUCUAUUUAGCAGGUGGGGGCUGUGCUGUGGGUGUUUUCCUGCUGUAGCCUCACCUUGCUGCUGAGCACAGAGUAGGAGCCUGCUGGGUGCCAGCCUGUGCUCUCAUUUUCUGGAACUACUGAGUUCAUGGCCAUUAACCUCCUAUCUCGUGUUUGGAGGACAUCAGAGACCUGCACACGUACGACAGUGUGUCAUCUCAUCGGAGUGAAAACCUUUCAGGCUGGGACAGCUUCUCACUUAUCAUGGAGGGGGAAAAAAAUCAUUCUUAUUUAUGUUAUCUGCUAUCAAUAUGUAAUAACAACGUGCAAGUAGGAUGGAAGAUGUGAUUUCACCUCCAGCUGGACUUUGCAUGUAAGGUUCUCCUAAUGAGAAAAUAAGUUUAUUCAGUGCCUGCCAUAAUGAAUCCCCUGUUUGAUAUGAAGUUGUUUUGGCUCUGCAUUCAUAGGAAUGAUCUGAAAUAUACAGCUGUUGGAAUUCAUUUUAUAUAGGGAUAGAGAUAAUAAAAUUGCAGAAAAAAAAUGUAACAAUAACAGGAAAAGAAGGAAAUGGUGUUGAGGAUUUUUACUAUAUUGAGUCAUAUGUUGUAUUAUUGUUACUUUUCUUGUAAUGCUCUGGAUGUCAUCAAUGUCCAUAUAAUGCAAAAAUGUAAUACAAAAUUAAGGUAGAUGUCAUCCUAGUACUAUUUCCAAUUAAUCAGAAACAUAAAGCACUGGGAGUGCUUAAUUAAAAGGGAG